RNAcentral lists this ribosomal RNA (1503 nucleotides) under Triticum aestivum (bread wheat). RNAcentral's name for it is "partial small subunit ribosomal RNA". The record is from RNAcentral. Lineage: Eukaryota; Viridiplantae; Streptophyta; Magnoliopsida; Poales; Poaceae.
AUGGCGGUGUGGGCGGAGCAGCUGCAGCGCGAGCUCGCCGGCCGCGGCCUCGCCGUCGCCUCCGUUCCAGGGAAGGGCCGCGGCCUCGUCGCCGCCCGCGGCCUCGCCGUCGCCUCCGUUCCAGGGAAGGGCCGCGGCCUCGUCGCCGCCCGCAGCUUCUUCCCAGGGGAGGUCAUUAUUUGCCAAGAACCCUAUGCUUCUACGCCCAACAGGAUUUCGGUUGGAUCGAGCUGCGACCACUGCUUCGCCUCCGGCAACCUGCGGAAGUGCUCGGUUUGUCGAGUAGCUUGGUACUGCGGGAGCGUGUGCCAGAAAGAAGAAUGGAAGCUGCAUCAACUCGAGUGUCAAGCCAUCUCAGCUCUCACAGAGGAAAGGAAGAAGAUGCUUACUCCUACAAUCCGUUUGAUGGUGAAGCUCAUACUAAGAAGAAAACUGCAAAGCGAGAAGGCCAUUCCAUCUUCAGCAACAGAUAACUACGAUCUAGUGGAUGCGUUGGAGUCCCACAUCUCGAAGGUUGAUGAUAAUCAAUUGGUCCUCUAUGCUCAGAUGGCUAAUCUUGUGCAGCUGAUUCUCCCUUCAAUUGAACUUGAUCUUAAGGAAAUUGCACACACUUUUUCUAAGUUUGCCUGCAAUGCUCAUACCAUAUGUGACCCUGAACUGAGGCCCCUUGGGACUGGACUGUUUCCUGCUAUAUCAAUUAUUAACCACAGUUGUGUACCAAAUGCAGUUUUGUUAUUUGAGGGUCGGACUGCAUAUGUACGCGCGUUGCAACCCUUGAGUAGCAAUACUGAGGUAUCAAUAAGUUACAUCGAAACUGCAGCAACCACUUUGAAGAGACACAAUGAUCUCAAGCAGUACUUCUUCACCUGCACAUGUCCCCGAUGUAUUAAGGAUUCUGAGGAAGAUGCUCUCCUGGAGGGAUACAGAUGCAAGGACCAAAAGUGUGAUGGCUUUCUGCUGCCUGACUCGGGAAAGAAGGCUUAUACAUGCCAGAAAUGUAGCAUUUCUAGAGAUGAAGAAGAGGUAAAGAAGGUGUCGAGUGAAAUAUUACUGUUGUCUGACAAAGCUUCUUCGUUUCUUUCAUCUGGAAAUAAUAGUGAAGCAGGUUCAGUGUACAAGACCAUUGAGCAGUUAGAACAGAAGCAUUACCAUUCUUUCUCGACCACUUUGCUUCACACACGUGAAACACUCCUGAAGAUAUAUAUGGAGUUGCAAGAUUGGCAGACUGCAUUGAUGUAUUGCAGAUUGACUAUUCCAGUUUAUGAAAGAGUUUACCCACCUUUUCAUCCAAUGGUUGGACUGCAAUUCUAUACUUGUGGAAAGCUCGAAUGGUUGCUUGAGUACACGGAGGACGCUCUGAAAUCGUUAACCAGGGCAGCAGAUGUACUUCGGAUAACACACGGCACACAAUCCCAGUUCAUGAAAGAGCUAUUUGGUAAGCUGGAGGAAGCGAGGGCUGAAGUUUCAUUUAGGCUAUCGUCUGGAGACGAGCAAAUUUCAUGA